RNAcentral lists this long non-coding RNA (765 nucleotides) under Panax ginseng (ginseng). RNAcentral's name for it is "long non-coding RNA (PGIN_LNC015450)". Lineage: Eukaryota; Viridiplantae; Streptophyta; Magnoliopsida; Apiales; Araliaceae. The record is from RNAcentral.
UGGUUUUUUCGAUCCUUAUGCAUGUAUAGUAUAAUUGCCCCUGCACUCAGAAAAACAACAUUAUGCUCCUGCUUAAUCUGUGUAUAGUUGAAUUUUCUUACUAAAUUUUUGCCAAGGAAAUAACUAAUGCAAUGAACAAAAAGUAAGAAUCUCAUAAUUACCCAACACCAUGAAGACUAGAAGAGAAAUCAUACAAAGGAAGGUGGCAGAUAAAGCCACAGCAAUAUGCUAAUGCAUGUCUAUCUCUCUUCAUUUCCAAUUUCAUCUUCUCUUCACAUGUAAAUCAAUCACCAAUGAAUAGCUGAUCGACAGAAACAUCUUAGGGGGUAUUUGUAUAUUUUCUCUAAAGGACUUUCAAUCAGUUCUUGGCCCUGAUAGAGUUGUUUUCCUUGAUCCUUACUCGGUUGUCCAGCUUGACAAAGCGUUUAAGGUCGUCAUAUGGGAGAGUUUCUACAUUUUUCCUUCUUAGCUCGCUCAGUGCGGGACGUUUAUCAAGAAGGUGCCACAGCCAAUCUGGGUAUUCAGAGUCUGCCAAAAAAUUUGGGGUCUGCUCCAUCCUUAAGGAUAUUGGCACCAACCACUGUAGUGGACUUGACAUCUUUGCUGAGGAUUGACGCCGUUGGACCAUCAGCAGUUGCACCCCCUUUAGAGCCUUUCUUUGCUUUAGCAGCAAAUGUUCUGCGACCUACAACCUCAACUACCUCAUUGCUGAUGUUAAUGCUCCUUAAAGAUUUUAUGAUGUUCAUUGCCAUGACUAAACCCUGC